This 260-nucleotide long non-coding RNA is filed under the name Elaeis guineensis (African oil palm). RNAcentral describes it as "long non-coding RNA (EGUI_LNC042134)". The record is from RNAcentral. Lineage: Eukaryota; Viridiplantae; Streptophyta; Magnoliopsida; Arecales; Arecaceae.
CGCAUCAAGAGGAGCACUAAUCCAAAAAUUACUGUCAGCAGGAAGAUGAAGACCUCCAUCAUGCACGGCUAAAUUUCUUUUUCUCGAAACAAAGACACAUAUUGUAAUAGAUUUAUUUUAAUGUUUAAUUUUUUGUAUUCUUUUUAUUUACAAAAAUAAAUGAUUUACCUUUGAACGUGCAAACUUGCUUCUUUAUAUUUUAAAGUUAGAUUUGGUUAAUUAAAAUAUUUUAUACUCCUUAAAGACACACCGUGAUCCAA